UUAAUACUCCCUCCGUUCCGAAUUACUUGUUUCGCGUAUGGAUGUAUCUAGAUGUAUUUUAGUUCUAGAUACAUCCAUUUCAGGGACGAGUAAUUUGUAACGGAGGGAGUACAUG
Molecule: non-coding RNA, 115 nt
Organism: Triticum aestivum (bread wheat)
Lineage: Eukaryota; Viridiplantae; Streptophyta; Magnoliopsida; Poales; Poaceae
Source: Rfam